Long non-coding RNA from Populus trichocarpa (black cottonwood), 1718 nucleotides. RefSeq lists it as uncharacterized. Lineage: Eukaryota; Viridiplantae; Streptophyta; Magnoliopsida; Malpighiales; Salicaceae. The record is from RefSeq and is a predicted model, not a curated record. The transcript has 2 exons.
AAAUAUAACGGAAAUGAAAGAUUCUCUCCCUAAUUCUCUCGGCUUCCUCUUCCUGUCUUUUUUUUCUCUAAGCUCAUGCUGAGUGCGUGAAUACGGUUCCCUUCCCUUCGUCCCCAUUCAUUUUCUCCUCCAUUGCUUUACCUCAAGGUUUACCAGUUUUUAACCCGCAGCACUCGUGAGAACCUUCAUGUGGUAGACCAGUCCUUCCUCUUCCUGCUGACACCGAUGGCGAGGCUCACGACUGCCAGAGAAAGGAGAUCAGCUGAGUUAAAAUUUUUGUUUCAUUUCUCUCUCUACUGUAAUUUUUCUUCCUCUUUGAUUCUUCUCUUUACAGGUUACAAAUGCUGAUGUCACCAGUGGAGGAGGUUGGGUGGCUGGCCGAAGCUGCUGGUGGAGUGUCUGUCACAAUGUGCUUGCGUGGAGGACUUUUUAUGAUGGUGAUUUCUGUGGUUGAGGCGCAUAGGAGAUAUGGUCGUCGACAUAGGAGAGAAAGGCUGGUGUUUGGGUUGAAAAUGAAGGGAGGCAGCGGCGUGGAGGAGCUGGUGGUGGCUGAUGAAGCUCGAGGUGCUAGUCUGCCAUGAACAAUGGAGGAAAAUAUAUAUGGUGGUUCUUUGUUUUGGUGUUUUAAAGGAGAGGGAGGGAUGGUUUUUUUUGUUCUCCCCAAAGAGGAGGCUAGUUUUUAGGCUUUAUUUUUUUUUAUCUCUUUUCAGAUGCACUUUUUUUAUUUUUUAUUUUAAAAAUGUUUUUAAAAAUAUUUAAAUUUUUUAUUUUUUUAUUUUAAAUUAAUAAUUUUUUGAUAUUUUCAUAUUAUUUUGAUGUACUAAUAUUAAAAAUAAUUUAAAAAAUAUAUAAAAAAAUUAUUUAAUAUAUUUUUAAGUAAAAAUUAUUUUGAAAAGUAAUCGGAACUAAUAUUUUUUUUAAGUUGAAAUAUUAUUUUGAUUUUGGCUAUUUAUAUUACUUGCUAUUCAUGUAAUUGGAAGGAUUAACUUGGAAUCCAUGACUUUAGAUCCAUACCCCUUGGUCGUUGACCUUUCUCAUGUAAUUUUAAAAUUCAUUCAUUCUGAGAGAUGAUCUACUCUGUAGUCAUGUCAAGAGAUAGCCUACCCCCAUAAAGUUUUGAAAUUUAAGAAACUCACUCAAAGUGUUUUUUGAAAACAUGGUUAUUUUAUAGAGUGACUACUCAAGGAAGUAAUUUUUUUUUAUCAUAAAGUUUAAUUUGACUUACUUGACCAUCAUGAGACUUGGCUAGAGGUGUCCUUAUUGUUGGACAGUGAUAUAAGGCUUAACUUCUGAUAUUUGGUUGAAUUCCAAUUAUACAGGAUCAAACUUCAAAGAGAGUAAAAUUCUUAGUGUAGGUUGAAUUUUGGUGCAAGACUGAACUUCCAAGUACACGUUGAAUUUUGACACAGGAUCAAACUUCAUUGAAUUGAAGUAAGUGGCACUAAGAUCAAAAUCUUGGUACCAGUUUGAAUUUUGGUGACGAAGGAUCAAACUUAUUAAAGAGUAAGAUUCUUUGUAUGAAUUGAAUUCUGAUCCAAGCUCAAACUUCUUAGCACUAGGUUAAAUUUUAUUGACACAAGGAUCAAAAUUCUUGUACUGGUUUGAAUUCCAGUGACGCGGACUCAAUUUUUUUUUAGUAUUGGUUUAAAUGCCAACGACUUAAGACAACAUUUUUUUGUACUGUUUUAAAUUCUAAUGAAGCAGUUUUAAUUUUUUUA